Molecule: ribosomal RNA, 253 nt
Filed under: uncultured bacterium
Lineage: Bacteria
Description: partial 16S ribosomal RNA
Rfam family: Bacterial small subunit ribosomal RNA
Source: RNAcentral
UACGGGGGGGGCAAGCGUUGUUCGGAAUUACUGGGCGUAAAGGGCUCAUAGGCGGCCAACUAAGUCAGACGUGAAAGCCCCCGGCUCAACUGGGGAGGGUCACUCGAUACUGAUCGACUUGAAGGCAGGAGAGGGAAGUGGAAUUCCCGGUGUAGUGGUGAAAUGCGUAGAUAUCGGGAGGAACACCAGUGGCGAAGGCGACUUCCUGGCCUGUUCUUGACGCUGAGGCGCGAAAGCUAGGGGAGCAAACGGG